Molecule: small nuclear RNA, 105 nt
Organism: Nycticebus coucang (slow loris)
Lineage: Eukaryota; Metazoa; Chordata; Mammalia; Primates; Lorisidae
Source: RefSeq, a predicted model, not a curated record
UUUGCUAAGAAGAAUAUUUUACUAAAAUUGGAACGAUACAGAGAAGAUAAGCAUGGCCCCUGCACAAAGAUGGCACUUUUCCUUUUUCAAGUUUCCAAGUUUUGU